GGAUCCAGACUUUGAUCCUGCCUCAGGACGAACGCUGGCGGCGCGCCUAACACAUGCAAGUCGAACGAGCGAGAGAGAGCUUGCUUUCUCGAGCGAGUGGCGAACGGGUGAGUAACGCGUGAGGAACCUGCCUCAAAGAGGGGGACAACAGUUGGAAACGACUGCUAAUACCGCAUAAGCCCACGGUGCCGCAUGGCACAGAGGGAAAAGGAGCAAUCCGCUUUGAGAUGGCCUCGCGUCCGAUUAGCUAGUUGGUGAGGUAACGGCCCACCAAGGCAACGAUCGGUAGCCGGACUGAGAGGUUGAACGGCCACGUUGGGACUGAGACACGGCCCAGACUCCUACGGGAGGCGGCAGUGGGGAAUAUUGCACAAUGGGGGAAACCCUGAUGCAGCGACGCCGCGUGGAGGAAGAAGGUCUUCGGAUUGUAAACUCCUGUUGUUGGGGAAGAUAAUGACGGUACCCAACAAGGAAGUGACGGCUAACUACGUGCCAGCAGCCGCGGUAAAACGUAGGUCACAAGCGUUGUCCGGAAUUACUGGGUGUAAAGGGAGCGCAGGCGGGAAGACAAGUUGGAAGUGAAAUCUAUGGGCUCAACCCAUAAACUGCUUUCAAAACUGUUUUUCUUGAGUAGUGCAGAGGUAGGCGGAAUUCCCGGUGUAGCGGUGGAAUGCGUAGAUAUCGGGAGGAACACCAGUGGCGAAGGCGGCCUACUGGGCACCAACUGACGCUGAGGCUCGAAAGUGUGGGUAGCAAACAGGAUUAGAUACCCUGGUAGUCCACACCGUAAACGAUGAUUACUAGGUGUUGGAGGAUUGACCCCUUCAGUGCCGCAGUUAACACAAUAAGUAAUCCACCUGGGGAGUACGACCGCAAGGUUGCAACUCAAAUGAAUUGACGG
Molecule: ribosomal RNA, 901 nt
Filed under: uncultured Bacillota bacterium
Lineage: Bacteria; Bacillati; Bacillota
Description: bacterial SSU rRNA
Rfam family: Bacterial small subunit ribosomal RNA
Source: RNAcentral